This 237-nucleotide long non-coding RNA is filed under the name Brassica napus (rape). RNAcentral describes it as "long non-coding RNA (BNAP_LNC017113)". Lineage: Eukaryota; Viridiplantae; Streptophyta; Magnoliopsida; Brassicales; Brassicaceae. The record is from RNAcentral.
AAUCACCAGGAAGUUGAAUAAAUCUCAUUGGAGUUAGGAUGAAGAAGCUACCACACUUUCACAUCAGGUGAUCCCAGUUUUUUUUGUUUGGGAAUAUGACAACUUCUUCGUCAUUAUUAUCAAAACAGGAUGAAUCACGAUGUAAGACGCUUGAUUUGGAUACAUAAAGUAUUGGAGAAUCACCAGGAAGUUGAAUAAAUCUCAUAGGAGUUAGGAUGAAGAAGCUAUCCCAGUUUU